Molecule: ribosomal RNA, 253 nt
Filed under: uncultured bacterium
Lineage: Bacteria
Description: partial 16S ribosomal RNA
Rfam family: Bacterial small subunit ribosomal RNA
Source: RNAcentral
UACGGGGGGAGCAAGCGUUGUUCGGAUUUACUGGGCGUAAAGGGCGCGUAGGCGGUAGCACAAGUCAGUUGUGAAAUCUCCGGGCUUAACUCGGAAAGGUCAACUGAUACUGUGCGACUAGAGUGCAGAAGGGGCAACUGGAAUUCUCGGUGUAGCGGUGAAAUGCGUAGAUAUCGAGAGGAACACCUGCGGCGAAGGCGGGUUGCUGGGCUGACACUGACGCUGAACAGCGAAAGCGUGGGGAGCGAACAGG